Pseudopipra pipra is the source of this 1463-nucleotide long non-coding RNA. RefSeq lists it as uncharacterized. The record is from RefSeq and is a predicted model, not a curated record. The transcript has 4 exons. NCBI's taxonomy places the organism in Eukaryota, Metazoa, Chordata, Aves, Passeriformes, Pipridae.
UCUUCAUCUGUCCUAUAACUAUAGUAAUUUGAAUAUAAUAAUUCUUCCCUGCUUACAAUAAAGUACAAUAUAAAUAUCUUAUAGAAAAAAAGGUACUCAGCUACGAUUAUCUCUGAAUAUAUAUAUGAAAAAUAUCUAAGCAAAACAUGCUUAUAUAUUUUUUUAAUUUUAAUUAUGUUGUAUUUCUCAAUUUUAGAGAGAAGUUCUUGUUGAUGAACUGGUUGUUGUAUUCCCCAGUCCAAUAACCUGGGCACAGUCUCCUCUCCAGAAGUUCACUAACAGCAAGGAUCAACAAGAAGGCGCUGGCUGUGCCCCUUUCAUUGCCCAUCUGGCUGCCUCCCAGCUGCUCCCUGGCUGACUCUGUGCUCGGCUCCCAGCGUGGCGGGAGCUGCCGCUCGCCACUAUCGCCGUCCCUUUUCCUCAGCGUUGGUCUGCAGGAUGGUGAGGCCACAGUCUGGCCUCACUUACCCUGAUUUACUUUUAUGGGAUUCAGUCAAAAUGCUACAGAUUUAUACCACUGAGGCGAACAGCAAAGUUUAACUCUUCAUGUUGGGAGGGCUGGAAGCGCUUCGGGUCCACAGGGAAUGUUUUCUGCCAGCCCUGGUGACAGCAGUGCCAGCCCCUCUGCUGAUAUGCAGCCAGUUCCCACUGUCACACUCCUAUUGCCUUGUCCAUGCUUGUUUUACACGCCUCACAGAGUUCUUACCUUUUUCCAUUUCCUACCAGUGUCGUUGACAUAAAGAAUAUUAAACCAAAAUAUACUGAGACGUCGCUUCUUUGGGACCGGUGUCUGACAUCCUUAUUCCCAGUGAACAGUGCUUCAUUUCCCAAAUAGCUUAAUCCUUUCAGUGGGGCAGCUGCAGAGGGAAGGCCAGAUCCACAAAAGGGCUCUGACAUAGCUAUGCUUAAAUUGUAGGCCUGGUAGAUUACUGGAGCUUGAAAUAGGAGUUAGGGAGUCUUUGCAGGUUGUACAGAGAAAGUUGGACAUUGCGGACGGGGGAAGAACAGCUUCAGGAAUUUAACUAGGAAAACACUUCUACUCAACAGCUGAAGCAUCCUGAUGGAGGAGGCAUCCACUCCUUGGCACCGCUGUAGGUAUCCCUUUCCUGGUGCUCAUUCCCAGGAAGGACAUUAAGGAGCCGCCCUGCUUCCCUGCAGCACCUUCGCUGUGUGGAAGAAGUCGUGGAAGAAGAUAAUCAGGCCUGGAGGACAGGAGAAUGCAGAAUUUGGUUUAGGAUAAAUCCAGCAAACCCAAAACAGGAAAUGGAAUUUAAUGAGUUCACUGGGACCGCCUUCGCCUCCUCGACUCUUCACUGGGAGUGACUCUCCUGCCCACUGACUACAUCAGCUCCUGGCUGCUCUCAGCCAGCUAAGGCAGAAAGGCUGCCAAAUAGCUUCCUGCUCCAAGAUCUCUGUAUCCUUUCAGUGUCAUGGGACAUAACCCUGCAGCUCCAGUGUUUGUU